This 253-nucleotide ribosomal RNA is filed under the name uncultured bacterium. RNAcentral describes it as "partial 16S ribosomal RNA". It matches the Rfam family "Bacterial small subunit ribosomal RNA", at positions 524 to 776 of the family's 1533-position model. The record is from RNAcentral.
UACAGAGGGUGCAAGCGUUAAUCGGAUUUACUGGGCGUAAAGCGCACGUAGGCGGACAUUUAAGUCAGGGGUGAAAUCCCAGAGCUCAACUCUGGAACUGCCUUUGAUACUGGGUGUCUUGAGUAUGGAAGAGGUGAGUGGAAUUCCGAGUGUAGAGGUGAAAUUCGUAGAUAUUCGGAGGAACACCAGUGGCGAAGGCGGCUCACUGGUCCAUUACUGACGCUGAGGUGCGAAAGCGUGGGGAGCAAACAGG